CGCGUAGGCGGUCUCUUAAGUCAGAUGUGAAAGCCCGGGGCUCAACCCCGGAAGUGCAUUUGAAACUAAGGGACUUGAGUAUGGGAGAGGGAAGUGGAAUUCCUGGUGUAGAGGUGAAAUUCGUAGAUAUCAGGAGGAACACCGGUGGCGAAGGCGACUUCCUGGACCAAUACUGACGCUAAGGCGCGAAGGCGUGGGGAGCAAGCA
This 207-nucleotide ribosomal RNA is filed under the name uncultured bacterium. RNAcentral's name for it is "partial 16S ribosomal RNA". It matches the Rfam family "Bacterial small subunit ribosomal RNA", at positions 568 to 774 of the family's 1533-position model. The record is from RNAcentral.